UACGUAGGGGGCAAGCGUUGUCCGGAUUUACUGGGCGUAAAGGGCGCGUAGGCGGUUAUUUAAGUGAAUGGUGAAAUUCCCAGCGCUCAACGCGGGAACUGCCAUUCAUACUGGAUGACUUGAGGAAUGUAGAGGUGAAUAGAAUUCCCGGUGUAGCGGUGACAUGCAAAAAUAUCGGGAGGAAUACCCAUGGCGAAGGCAGUUCACUGGACAUUUCCUGACGCUGAGGCGCGAAAGCGUGGGUAGCAAACAGA
Molecule: ribosomal RNA, 254 nt
Filed under: uncultured bacterium
Lineage: Bacteria
Description: partial 16S ribosomal RNA
Rfam family: Bacterial small subunit ribosomal RNA
Source: RNAcentral